This 313-nucleotide unclassified non-coding RNA is filed under the name fungal sp. RNAcentral describes it as "partial internal transcribed spacer region". The stretch from base 1 to 45 matches the Rfam family "Eukaryotic small subunit ribosomal RNA", at positions 1787 to 1831 of the family's 1831-position model. Lineage: Eukaryota; Fungi. The record is from RNAcentral.
AGUCGUAACAAGGUAUCCGUAGGUGAACCUGCGGAUGGAUCAUUAACAAAGGUGUUUUUGAAGUUGUGUGAACAGUUGGAGGAGGUGGUGGUGGUGGUGGUAUUGGGUGGUACUGGGUGGUACUGGGUGGUACUGGGUGGUAUUGGGUGGUAUUGGGUGGUAUUGAGUGGUGUAACCUUGGUCAACCUCACUCAACCUCACUCUCCCAACCUCACUCUCCCAACCUCCACCACUCCGUCCCUAUAAUGUAUACAAACUGAUGUCUGCUAGUUUCAAACUAAAACAACUUUUAGCAACGGAUCUCUUGGCUCUC